This is a long non-coding RNA of Marmota monax (woodchuck), 1531 nucleotides long. RefSeq lists it as uncharacterized. The record is from RefSeq and is a predicted model, not a curated record. Lineage: Eukaryota; Metazoa; Chordata; Mammalia; Rodentia; Sciuridae. The transcript has 3 exons.
GAUGAUGAGGCAGCAGAAGCCUGCACUGCCCCGGGUUGCCUGCAAACCCCGAGGCUGGAGAGAGGCCUGGGACACAGUGCUCCUUCCCAGUCUUAAACACACAGGCCUGGUGACUCCUGGAUGGUGGCCUUCCAGUCUCCAGCAUGGUGAGACAGUAAAGGUCUGUUACUUAGCCGCGCCCCGCCACCCCUCAGUUUGCAGACCCGGCUUUGGCGUCCCUGGAAACCUAGCAGAGCACCUUUCACCUCAGGCUCUGGCGUCCCCAGUGGUGGAGUUUCUGCCUCCUCCUGGAGCCCCAGCAGCAAGCCUCUCCACCUGAAGAGGCCAUCAAAACGGGUUUAGACACACAAAGCGUUGACAAGAAGAUGGACCCUCAGCUACAGAGGACGUGUCAUUGUUCGUGAAGCACUUGCCCAACAGGAACUUCAAUGUUAAUUGUGAAAAAGCGGCAUGGGAGAAUGACUAGGAACUGCAGCUUCGCGAAUUGGUGAACUUUGCAUAUGGACAAUUAACUAAAAAAGAACAAGCCAGUUUGGAAAAUUGUGGGUAUUUCUGCAAAUGAAAUGUCUGCCUGCCUUUGGAUUAUGCAGUCAUUUUUCCAUCAAGAAGACUCAUCAAUUGGCCUGAACAGUAGUUCAGACUGUAGUCAAGACAAAAACCCGCAUUUGGACCUAACUGAAUUUCAGCAUCCUCUGGAAACCACAGCCAUCAUCCUGGGAUCUCUGGGUUUUCCCUGACACUUUCCCCCUGUAUCUCCCAUGACAACAAAGUAUCACAUUCCCAUAUCUCUGAGAAGAAUGUGAAUAUCUCAUCCAUGAAAUUUAGAAGCUACUCAUCUCUAAUAGCAAAACAAAAACUCAUCACUGGACUAGGGAUGGGGCUCUGUGGUAGAGUGCUUGCCUAACUUGAACUAAAGCCAGGGAUUCAAUCCCCAGCACUACGAAACAAAAACAGAAACAAACACACAUAAAGACCUUAUAAUAACUAUUUAUAAGUAUUUUAUUUUUUUUAGAGAGAGCGCGCUACUGCUUGAGCCACAUCCCCAGCCCCAAAGUAUUUGUAUUUUUAAGGUAAAAGGAAUUGAUUCACAAUCUAGUCACAAAUCAGUUCUUAUUUUCACACACUAAAGAGAGCUCUAUUGAGUAAAAUGAGAUAAAAAAUCAAUUUGUUAAGAUCAAUAAGUAAAAAAGUUAUUUGCACUGUUAUUUUCAAACAGCAUUUUAUUUACCACUUUUAACCUUUUAACUCAUAUUUUCUCCUUUCCAAUCAUGUGGUUUGAAUAAAUACACUGCCCAGAUCUCCGGCACCUGAAUUGUGUGUUAUGGCUCUUCUGAAAAAAAAAAAUAUUAUUGAUGCAGAUUUGUUUUAUUUCAAAGCCAAUGAAAAUAAACACUCAUUUUUUUUAUAGACUUAGAUAAAAGUGAAUUUUUAAAAAUGAACGAAUUUGGUGUCAACAUAUCUUAUGUACAGAGAUAUGAUAAAUUGUGAUAUAAAAGUGUAUUAAGAAUUGUAAUGCAAAUAAUAAUAAUAA